RNAcentral lists this ribosomal RNA (253 nucleotides) under uncultured bacterium. RNAcentral's name for it is "partial 16S ribosomal RNA". It matches the Rfam family "Bacterial small subunit ribosomal RNA", at positions 524 to 776 of the family's 1533-position model. The record is from RNAcentral.
UACGAAGGGGGCGAGCGUUGUUCGGAAUUACUGGGCGUAAAGGGCGCGUAGGCGGCGACUCUAGUCAGAUGUGAAAGUCCUGGGCUUAACCUGGGGACUGCAUUUGAUACUGGGUUGCUUGAAUUCGGGAGAGGAUAGCGGAAUUCCCAGUGUAGAGGUGAAAUUCGUAGAUAUUGGGAAGAACACCAGUGGCGAAGGCGGCUCACUGGUCCGGUACUGACGCUGAGGUGCGAAAGCGUGGGGAGCAAACAGG